UUAUAUUCUCUACCUAUAACCUAUCUAUCUUUUAUACACAUGAGAAAGGAAUCACCCUCUUAACAUGCAUAUAGCAAAUAGCGCGACACAAACAUUUCAAUGAUUAUCAUUGCCAAAAACUAAGUGGUUAUUACACCAAGUACAAUUCAACUCCCAUACAAAGAAUCAUACAACUUAGCCGCUGACAAUAGUCCUCAAUUG
Molecule: long non-coding RNA, 201 nt
Filed under: Panax ginseng (ginseng)
Lineage: Eukaryota; Viridiplantae; Streptophyta; Magnoliopsida; Apiales; Araliaceae
Description: long non-coding RNA (PGIN_LNC000627)
Source: RNAcentral